GCCGAUGUAGCUCAGUUGGUAGAGCGCGUCCUUGGUAAGGACGAGGUCACCGGUUCAAUCCCGGUCAUCGGCUCCA
RNAcentral lists this transfer RNA (76 nucleotides) under Pseudomonadota bacterium. RNAcentral describes it as "tRNA-Thr". It matches the Rfam family "tRNA". Rfam says of the family: Transfer RNA (tRNA) molecules are approximately 80 nucleotides in length. Their secondary structure includes four short double-helical elements and three loops (D, anti-codon, and T loops). Further hydrogen bonds mediate the characteristic L-shaped molecular structure. tRNAs have two regions of fundamental functional importance: the anti-codon, which is responsible for specific mRNA codon recognition, and the 3' end, to which the tRNAs corresponding amino acid is attached (by aminoacyl-tRNA synthetases). tRNAs cope with the degeneracy of the genetic code in two manners: having more than one tRNA (with a specific anti-codon) for a particular amino acid; and 'wobble' base-pairing, i.e. permitting non-standard base-pairing at the 3rd anti-codon position. RNAcentral also lists the same sequence under 8 other names. Lineage: Bacteria; Pseudomonadati; Pseudomonadota. The record is from RNAcentral.